GGGGUUGUAACUCAGUGGUAGAGUGUUCGCUAUGCAUGCGAAAAGCCCGGAGUUCAAUCAUCCUCAACUCCA
Non-coding RNA from Daphnia pulex (common water flea), 72 nucleotides. The record is from Rfam. Lineage: Eukaryota; Metazoa; Arthropoda; Branchiopoda; Diplostraca; Daphniidae.